Tachysurus fulvidraco (yellow catfish) is the source of this 1425-nucleotide long non-coding RNA. RefSeq lists it as uncharacterized. Lineage: Eukaryota; Metazoa; Chordata; Actinopteri; Siluriformes; Bagridae. The record is from RefSeq and is a predicted model, not a curated record. The transcript has 4 exons.
UCCUGUUUCAUCUAAUUAUUAACACAGGUGAAGUUUUGCUCAUUUUUGUAUUGUAGCUUUUUGUUUGAGUUCUUGAUAUUAAAUUUCUGACAAAAAACAAAACAAAACAACAGAGUAAAGAAUUCUACACUGAGGAUUUAUUUAGCUCCAUGUGGUGGUCACUUCACCGCCCCUGUGGGAGUGAUCCUCUCUCCAGGGUGGCCUGGUUAUUAUAAAGACUCUCUGAGCUGCGAGUGGUGAUCGAGGCCGAGCCGGGACACUCCAUCAAGCUGAGCUUUGACAGCAUCAUCACUGCGACCUUUCCUGUGGGGGAAGCUGUGAAAUAUAGAAGAUCCUUUUUGUGAUCUACAGCACUUUUGGGAGCCGUAAUGCCGAGUCGCUGAACAAAUACAAAGCAGCCGUGUGGGGAGGAGAAAGUUUUAGUAGAAGUCUUUUGACAUGAUCAUUUUAAUAUUUCUUUUUGAAAAAUUGACAUAUAUAUAUAUUUCUCAAAUUUGUUGUGGUGCCAGAGGAAUAAAUGAUGAUAAUGUUUGUAAUUAUAAUGGCUACGUCAUCCAGAAAAGGAGUAUGGUACAAAAUCCCAUUAGUCUGCAGCACCGAUCGGAUCAGAUAAUCCUCCAGGCCUCAUCUGUGGAGAAAUUUUUUACCAGCGCCUUAUAAUUUAAAGCCUCAGAAACGUGUCGGCGGAUGAAAAGCGAUCAAUGGAGACAACAGAGGAAUGAAAACAUUGGAAACGAUACAGCGGUGAAACAGAACAAACUAGCGAUUGUGUUGAUAAACUGCACGUUAGUUUGAUGGCAGAAGGAAAUGAUGCGUAUUGACAGACUGCGGUUGUUGGUUAUCUCGUUCCACAGGAAAACAAGGACAGGGAGUCUCUCAGGCGAAACGGCAACGUUACAGAAACCGCUGUUGACCGGUGAUUUCAAGUUUAUGGCUUUUUUUACGUCCGGCCUACGGCGAAGGUUUCGUCUCGUUCCGAACCCAAGUGUCUGUUACAGGCACGAACCCAAACUCCCUUCUUCCCCUUGUCCCACGUACGGCACGAAGGCGUUCAAGCUCACAGCUCUCGCUCCUUCCCGAAGCGACCUGGUCUGAGAUGUCAGGCUUAUUCAGUUUUAAUGACUUUAUGUAAUUAUGUAUGAAUAAAAAAUGGGCAGUAAUAUUUUGGAGAGGCUGCAAAAGCACCAAAGGGCAGGAAGCUGCUGCUGGAGCUCUGCAUCGAGCAUUAUCCUGUUGUUGCUUUAUUGUUAAUCGUGGCUUGGUGUGUGUUUGUGUGUGAGAUUUGCAUAUGAGUGAGUGUGUGUGUGUGUGUGUGUGUGUUUAUUCAUUCUCAUGCUUUGUGUAAUGAUGUUUGUUUAACUCCAGGCCAAGACAUAAUACAAUAUGUAUUCAAGAAGAUACAAUUACAAACAAAAACCCGCUCUC